UACGUAGGGUGCAAGCGUUAAUCGGAAUUACUGGGCGUAAAGCGUGCGCAGGCGGUGAUGUAAGACAGAUGUGAAAUCCCCGGGCUCAACCUGGGAACUGCAUUUGUGACUGCAUCGCUGGAGUGCGGCAGAGGGGGAUGGAAUUCCGCGUGUAGCAGUGAAAUGCGAAGAUAUGCGGAGGAACACCGAUGGCGAAGGCAAUCCCCUGGGCCUGCACUGACGCUCAUGCACGAAAGCGUGGGGAGCAAACAGG
This 253-nucleotide ribosomal RNA is filed under the name uncultured bacterium. RNAcentral describes it as "partial 16S ribosomal RNA". It matches the Rfam family "Bacterial small subunit ribosomal RNA", at positions 524 to 776 of the family's 1533-position model. The record is from RNAcentral.